RNAcentral lists this ribosomal RNA (407 nucleotides) under uncultured bacterium. RNAcentral's name for it is "partial 16S ribosomal RNA". It matches the Rfam family "Bacterial small subunit ribosomal RNA", at positions 30 to 526 of the family's 1533-position model. The record is from RNAcentral.
AUUGAACGCUGGCGGCAGGCCUAACACAUGCAAGUCGAGCGGAGCGGGGGACGGGUGAGUAAUGCCUAGGAAUCUGCCUGGGAGUGGGGGAUAACGUCCGGAAACGGGCGCUAAUACCGCAUACUAUCAGAUGAGCCUAGGUUGGAUUAGCUAGUUGGUGGGGUAAAGGCCUACCAAGACGACGAUCCGUAACUGGUCUGGGAGGAUGAUCAGUCACACUGGAACUGAGACACGGUCCAGACUCCGACUGGAGGCAGCAGUGGGGAAUAUUGGACAAUGGGCGAAAGCCUGAUCCAGCCAUGCCGCGUGUGUGAAGAAGGUCUUCGGAUUGUAAAGCACUUGAAGUUGGGAGGCGUGACCAGCAGAAUAAGCACCGGCUAACUUCGUGCCAGCCGCCGCGGUAAUUC